This 382-nucleotide ribosomal RNA is filed under the name uncultured eukaryote. RNAcentral describes it as "partial 18S ribosomal RNA". It matches the Rfam family "Eukaryotic small subunit ribosomal RNA", at positions 592 to 976 of the family's 1831-position model. The record is from RNAcentral.
UGUAAGCGUAUACCAAAGUUGUUGCAGUUAAAGCGCUCGUAGUCGGAAUUUGGCAGUUCCGGAUGUGUGCACGUCGUGUGCGCACUUCGCGGGGAUUGCUUUUGUGGUCUUGCGUAGGAUGAGGCACUUUUAUUAGUGAACGUCCUCACGCAACCACUUUUUACUGUGAGAAAAUCAGAGUGCUCAAAGCAGGCAUUUGCCGUGAAUGUAUUAGCAUGGAAUAAUAGAAUAGGACUUGGUUCUAUUUUGUUGGUUUGUUGGGACUGAGUAAUGAUUAAGAGGGACAGUUGGGGGCAUUUGUAUUUCGGUGCUAGAGGUGAAAUUCUUAGAUUACCGAAAGACAAACUGCUGCGAAAGCGUCUGCCAAGGAUGUUUUCAUUGA